UCGAUUCCCUUAGUAGCGGCGAGCGAAACGGGAAGAGCCCAAACCAACAAGCUUGCUUGUUGGGGUUGUAGGACACUCUAUACGGAGUUACAAAGGACGACAUUAGACGAAUCAUCUGGAAAGAUGAAUCAAAGAAGGUAAUAAUCCUGUAGUCGAAAAUGUUGUCUCUCUUGAGUGGAUCCUGAGUACGACGGAGCACGUGAAAUUCCGUCGGAAUCUGGGAGGACCAUCUCCUAAGGCUAAAUACUCUCUAGUGACCGAUAGUGAACCAGUACCGUGAGGGAAAGGUGAAAAGCACCCCGGAAGGGGAGUGAAAUAGAACCUGAAACCGUGUGCUUACAAGUAGUCAGAGCCCGUUAAUGGGUGAUGGCGUGCCUUUUGUAGAAUGAACCGGCGAGUUACGAUUUGAUGCAAGGUUAAGCAGUAAAUGUGGAGCCGUAGCGAAAGCGAGUCUGAAUAGGGCGUUUAGUAUUUGGUCGUAGACCCGA
This 488-nucleotide ribosomal RNA is filed under the name Staphylococcus aureus. Its description in RNAcentral is "partial 23S ribosomal RNA". It matches the Rfam family "Bacterial large subunit ribosomal RNA", at positions 231 to 718 of the family's 2925-position model. The record is from RNAcentral. Lineage: Bacteria; Bacillati; Bacillota; Bacilli; Caryophanales; Staphylococcaceae.